UAGGGAAUCUUCGGCAAUGGACGAAAGUCUGGCCGAGCAACGCCGCGUGAGUGAAGAAGGUUUUCGAAUCGUAAAACUCUGUUGGUAGAGAAGAACGUUGGUGAGAGUGGAAAGCUCAUCAAGUGACGGUAACUACCCAGAAAGGGACGGCUAACUACGUGCCAG
Molecule: ribosomal RNA, 165 nt
Filed under: uncultured bacterium
Lineage: Bacteria
Description: partial 16S rRNA
Rfam family: Bacterial small subunit ribosomal RNA
Source: RNAcentral